CCGCCCCGCUCCUUUCUUCCAGCCCAGCCCGGCUCCCGGUGCGCUCCGGCCUCCGCGCCUCCCAGCCCGGCUCCGAACCCGCAGCCCGGGGGCUGCAGCGCCGGUUCCGCUCCUGUGGCUGCCGCUGCUCCUGGUUCCCUGCGCGCAGCCCCGGCUCCGAGCCCCGGCCGCGCUGCCCCUCGGUCUGGUCCGUGCUCUGCUGCCUGCCGGGGGCCUGCCCGGUGUGUGUCCCCGUUCUGGGGAUUGUCUGUCCUCUGCUCCUCCGUGCCCAGCCUCCGGGGCACCCCCAUCUGUGCACCCCCCCGUGCCCCCUCUUUUGUGCCCACUUCCCUGGGACACUCCCCAUCACGGCACCCCUCUUGUGUGCCCAGCUCGUGGGGCACUCCCCAUCUCUGCCCCCCCUCGUACCUCCCUCUUCUGCGUCCAGCCCCUGGGACACUCCCCCAGUGCCCCCCUCCUCUGCGCCCAGCCCCUGGGACACUCCCCAUCUCUGCCCCCCCUCGUACCUCCCUCUUCUGCAUCCAGGCCCUGGGACACUCCCCCAGUGCCCCCCUCUUCUGUGCCCAGCCCCUGGGACACUCCCCAUCUCUGCCCCCCCUCGUACCUCCCUCUUCUGCGUCCAGCCCCUGGGACACUCCCCCAGUGCCCCCCUCCUCUGCGCCCAGCCCCUGGGACACUCCCCAUCUCUGCCCCCUCUCGUACCUCCCUCUUCUGCAUCCAGGCCCUGGGACACUCCCCCAGUGCCCCCCUCCUCUGCGCCCAGCCCCUGGGACACUCCCCAUCUCUGCCCCCCCUCGUAUCUCCCUCCUCUGUGUCCAGCCCCUGGGACACUCCCCCAGUGCCCCCCUCCUCUGUGCCCAGCUCGUGGGGCACUCCCCAUCUCUGCCCCCCCUCGUAUCUCCCUCUUUUGCGUCCAGUCCCUGGGACACUCCCCCAGUGCCCCCCUCUUCUGUGCCCAGCCCCUGGGACACUCCCCAUCUCUGCCCCCCUCCUCUGCGCCCAGCCCCCGGGACACUCCCCAUCUGUGCCCGGCCGCUGCAGAGAUUCCCAGAUCGUGCCCAUGGGCAUUGCCAGGUUGGCAGAUGUGAUUAAGGAGGAGGCUGCGGAGGCCGUGAGCUCAUUCCCUCUGCGACAGUAUCGAGACCGCGUCAUAGCCCUGGACGCAUCCAUUGUCAUUUACCAGUUCCGCACGGCCAUGCCAAAGCUCUUCAACCGCAACGGGGAGAACAUCAGUCACUUGCAGGGGCUGUUUUACCGGACGCUGCAUCUCCUGGAAAAUGGCAUCAAACCGGUGUUUGUGUUUGACGGGCAGCCCCCUGACCUCAAACAGCCACUGCUGGCCAGGCGGGCGGAGGCUGCCGGGGCUAGGAGAGAUGCUGCAGAGUCCCGCCGGGCUGAAAACCUGCCGCGGCCCCUGAAGCAGGAUUGCGAGACCCUGCUGAGCUACCUGGGUGUGCCAUAUGUGCAGGCUCCGGCUGAGGCAGAAGCCACCUGCGCAGCUCUGGUGAAGUCUGGCAAGGUUUGGUGCACAGCCACGGAGGACAUGGACGCGCUGCCUUUCGGGAGCCUCCGCCUGAUCCGCCACCUGAACUCCAAGAACAACUGUGAAGUAGAAGAGUUUUCCCUGCCUGACAUCCUGCAGAAGCUGGCCAUGACUCAGGAGCAGUUCGUGGACCUGUGCAUCCUGCUGGGGUGUGAUUACUGUGGGAAGAUCUGGCAGCUGGGCCCCAAAAAGGCCCUCAAGCUGCUGCAGCAACAUGGGACCAUCGAGCAGGUUCUCCAGAACAUCGACCCCCAGAAGCACCCGCUGCCCGCCAACUGGGACCUGGAGGGAGCUCGCAGGCUCUUCCUGCAGCCGGAGGUGGCUGACCCGGGCCAGAUAACGCUGGAGUGGCGCGACCCCGACCCAGAGGGGCUGGUGCGGUUCCUCGCCCACGAGAAGCACAUGAAUGAGGCGCGGGUGUGCCGGCGGCUGCAGCGGUGGCAGGAGGCCCAGCCCAAGCCCGAGGAGGCCCAGCCCAAGCAGCAAGCGCCCCGAGAGGGCAGGAGGCAGCAGAAGCUGGGCGAGUUCUUCCCAGCCAGCAAACACGCCCGUCCGCCGGAGGUGCCCGGCCCCCGGCCCAGCAGGAAGAGACAGAAACCGCAGGCGGGGAUGCCCGGGGAAGCAGGCAGCCCGGAGCCGGGGAAGUGAGACGCUGGCCUUGCUCCUGCUUCUGCCACAGUGCCCAUACACUGCCGUCUGCUCUCCCCCAGGCCUUCUGCCAGCCAUGCCCAGUGGGCAGCCGGGGCAACGUGCCAGGAGCCCAGGGGCAGCACCUGAUGGGCGCGGACAGAACCAGAUCGCAGCUGCUCUCCACUUUAAUGCCCAGGUGCAGGCCAGGCUCCAGCACGCAAUAUGGCCCAGACGAGGCACUGCAUGCUGGGAGCUGUAAUCUCUGCUGGCUGCCCACUGGCACUGUCCUUAGGAAAUUGUGUGUCUGUGUGAGAGAGAGAGAGACUGGAUGGAUGGAUGGAUGAGGGGAAGGAACAGCCGACUGGACAGGUUGGUUCAGUAGCCCCAUCCGGAGAGCUCCAACAGAUCCUGCUGGUUGGGAGUGAGGGGCACCGGCAGAGCUGGCGGGGAGCCCAGGGCUGGAACAGCAGGCUGCAGGUUGGUAGUGAGGGGCACUGGCAGAGCCGGGGGGGAGCCCAGGGCUGGAAGAGGGGGCUGUGGGUUGGGAGUGAGAGGUGCCGACAGAACUAGAACGGGGAAGUAACAGUUCCUACCCGCUUUGUGCCUGUAGCAAGUUGAGGCCAAGUUGGCCGCCUUUCAGAACUCUCAGGUAUCUGUUGCCAGGCCCAUCACUGUGGUAUUGGGGCAGCAGGGCACAGAGCCACUAAACGACUCGCCCACGGUCACACAGGAGGCUGCGGCAGAGGCAAGAUUAGAACCCAGCUCUCCUGAGCCUCCAGUGCUUGGAUCACAGGCUUGUCCUUCCUGCUGGCCUGGCCCCAGCCCCUGUUGGAGGGAGUCCAGCCGGAGCGCCGUCCCUCAGCUGCCUGGUGCGCCGAGGGGGAGGCGGCUUGUUUUGGGUACCCAAGGGAACAAUGGGGAUGGGGUGAAGGAAGGGAAGAAUGAGGGUGAAAUAGCGGGAGUGACUCCACGGCUGGGAGAUGGAUCCAACUGUGGGACCCGCCAGGGACAUUUCCAAGCAGGUCGGACUGAGGAACAUGGGGGUGGGGGGUGGCACAUGCCACUUUGCCCCCAGCACGUGGACCAGACAGGCCUGCUAGCGAUAGAGGGAGGCCACGCCAGCGGCACGACCUGCCCCGGAGCAGCCCCUUCUCUGCGCUGCACGGCUCGGCUGAGCGCCCCCGGCACCACCCUGCGCUGCGCAUCAGCUGACGAUGGUCCCGGUUCUUGGGGUGGCCUCUGCUCCUCGGUGUAGCCUGGACUGUCCUCGGGGAGGAGCUGGUGAGCAAAGGGCCAAGUGAAGCCCAGAUGUGGGGCGGAGACCCCAGGCCCCAGAAGGGGGCAGCAGAGAUGGGAGGGGCCCAGCACAGGGAAGAUGAUUGAGGGUUUAUUCAAGUACGUCCAGGGGUGAGAAAUCUCGGUAGCUGAGACUGGGUUUGAACUCCCCCCCGCGACCUGUUUUCGUUAGCUUUGCUGUGCCCUGACCUGCGUCAGUGCCGGGAGCCCCUGCCCUGGUGCCAGGCCCUGCUGGGCGUGAGCCUCACCAGUCCCUGACCAGUGCCAGCGGCUUGUGUGCCACAAAGAGCGGGGGAGAUGGUCCGGCUCGGGCUGGCACUCCGUCUCCCCAGUCAGGUGGUAUCUGAUGGGGCUGGGAACUCGCGCCCGGCUGCUGCACAGAGGUGCCCGCUGCGGUUCUCCUGCUAUCUCCGCCCUGCCCAGCCCAGCGGGGCACCAGGCACCGUCUCCUGCUCUGUUCUGGGAGCUCAGCAAUAAAGUCGGAGGUGAUACAA
RNA transcript from Gopherus flavomarginatus (Mexican gopher tortoise), 3963 nucleotides. It is a transcript of the gene named flap endonuclease 1-like, with no coding region annotated. The transcript has 12 exons. NCBI's taxonomy places the organism in Eukaryota, Metazoa, Chordata, Testudines, Testudinidae. The record is from RefSeq and is a predicted model, not a curated record.